GCUAUAGUGGUGCAAUGGUUAAGCAUUUGGCUGCUAACCAAAAGGUUAAUGGUUCGAACCUACCAGUAGCU
RNAcentral lists this transfer RNA (71 nucleotides) under Loxodonta africana (African savanna elephant). It matches the Rfam family "tRNA". Rfam says of the family: Transfer RNA (tRNA) molecules are approximately 80 nucleotides in length. Their secondary structure includes four short double-helical elements and three loops (D, anti-codon, and T loops). The record is from Rfam by way of RNAcentral. Lineage: Eukaryota; Metazoa; Chordata; Mammalia; Proboscidea; Elephantidae.